Molecule: ribosomal RNA, 962 nt
Filed under: Colletotrichum gloeosporioides
Lineage: Eukaryota; Fungi; Ascomycota; Sordariomycetes; Glomerellales; Glomerellaceae
Description: partial large subunit ribosomal RNA
Rfam family: Eukaryotic large subunit ribosomal RNA
Source: RNAcentral
AAGAACCAAACAGGGAUUGCCUCAGUAACGGCGAGUGAAGCGGCAACAGCUCAAAUUUGAAAUCUGGCCCCCAGGGUCCGAGUUGUAAUUUGCAGAGGAUGCUUUUGGCGCGGUGCCUUCCGAGUUCCCUGGAACGGGACGCCAUAGAGGGUGAGAGCCCCGUACGGUUGGACACCAAGCCUGUGUAAAGCUCCUUCGACGAGUCGAGUAGUUUGGGAAUGCUGCUCUAAAUGGGAGGUAUAUUUCUUCUAAAGCUAAAUACCGGCCAGAGACCGAUAGCGCACAAGUAGAGUGAUCGAAAGAUGAAAAGCACUUUGAAAAGAGGGUUAAACAGCACGUGAAAUUGUUAAAAGGGAAGCGCUUGUGACCAGACUUGCGCCCGGUGAAUCACCCAGCUCUCGCGGCUGGGGCACUUUGCCGGCUCAGGCCAGCAUCAGCUCGCCGUCGGGGACAAAAGCUUCGGGAACGUAGCUCUCUUCGGGGAGUGUUAUAGCCCGCUGCACAAUACCCUUCGGCGGGCUGAGGUACGCGCUCCGCAAGGAUGCUGGCGUAAUGGUCAUCAGCGACCCGUCUUGAAACACGGACCAAGGAGUCAACCUUAUGUGCGAGUGUUCGGGUGUCAAACCCCUACGCGAAAUGAAAGUGAACGCAGGUGAGAGCUUCGGCGCAUCAUCGACCGAUCCUGAUGUUCUCGGAUGGAUUUGAGUAAGAGCAUAUAGGGUUGGACCCGAAAGAAGGUGAACUAUGCGUGUAUAGGGUGAAGCCAGAGGAAACUCUGGUGGAGGCUCGCAGCGGUUCUGACGUGCAAAUCGAUCGUCAAUAUGCGCAUGGGGGCGAAAGACUAAUCGAACUUUCUAGUAGCUGGUUUCCGCGAAGUUUCCCUCAGAUAGCCAGUGGUUGAACUCAGUUUAUGAGUAAGCGGAUGAAUUAAGGAACUCGGGGGGGCGCCUAUAUAUUGUCCC